Molecule: ribosomal RNA, 402 nt
Filed under: uncultured prokaryote
Description: bacterial SSU rRNA
Rfam family: Bacterial small subunit ribosomal RNA
Source: RNAcentral
UAGGGAAUAUUAGAAAUGGACGCAAGUCUGAUCUAGCAACACCGCGUGCGCGAAGAAGGCCUUCGGGUCGUAAAGCACUUUUUGGAAGGAAUAGGAAGGAAUGUACUUCCAGAAUAAGUCUCGGCUAACUACGUGCCAGCAGCCGCGGUAACACGUAGGAGGCGAACGUUAUCCGGAUUUACUGGGCGUAAAGCGCGUGUAGGUGGUUCUGUAAGUAGGGCGUGAAAGCUCCUGGCUCAACUGGGAGAGGCCGUUCUAAACUACAGAGCUAGAGGAUGGUAGAGGGAGGUGGAAUUCCAGGUGUAGCGGUGGAAUGCGCAGAUAUCUGGAGGAACACCAGUGGCGAAGGCGGCCUCCUGGACCAUUCCUGACACUCAGACGCGAAAGCUAGGGUAGCAAACG